Molecule: RNA transcript, 1661 nt
Organism: Prosopis cineraria
Lineage: Eukaryota; Viridiplantae; Streptophyta; Magnoliopsida; Fabales; Fabaceae
Gene name: F-box protein At4g00755
Exons: 7
Source: RefSeq, a predicted model, not a curated record
GCCUGGCUUACCAGGGCUGUCUUCUUUUUCUUCCACUCAUACGCCAUCUCUCUCUCCCUCCUCCUUCCUCCCGUCACCAGCAAUCCUCUCUGUCCCUCAAUUUCAUGUCUUCCUUUUAGGGUUUCUUUUUCGGACGUGCAGGUAUACACCGACGACGGUGCCAGUCCAGGUUCUCAGGUUUGUAUAAGAACUUGUUAUUUCUUAUACACUACCGCCAUAAUAUGGGUUCUUCUGUGGAUUUCAUCUAUUGGCUUGAUCCUGACAUGUCGCACAAGAUUCUCAUGUGUCUGGAUGAUCCGUCUGACCUUGUCCGAGUUAGUUGUGUCUCGCGGUCUUGGCGACACUAUGUGAUUAGAAAUGGUCUUUGCAAACAGCUAUGCUUGAGAAUGUUUCCUCAAUUAUCUAGAGCCUCAUAUGUCGUUGAACUGAAUAAAAAUGGAGCAAAGGAACCUGAAGUUGGAUCUAGCUAUUCUAUGGAAUGGCAAGCUCUGGAAAAGGACCAUAGAGUCUAUGCUUAUUUAGCUAGAGCCUGCACAUCAUUUGCUAUUGUGGAUUGCAUUGGAGAGACAAUUGGUGCUUCCAGCACUGAUAAUUUUCCAGAGGAAAGCAUUGAUAAUACAUUAGAGGCAAGGGACAAUAUCGGUGGGAGAGCUUCGUACUGGUCCAGUAAAGGGCAAAAAAAUCCUGAUGUACCUGAGACACUAACAUACAAGCUGGACUGCUCAAUUUGUGUUGUUACGGAAAUUAGUGUUCAUCCUUUCCAAGCUUUUUUUCAGCCAGGGCUUCCUAUAUACUCAGCAAAAUCUGUUCGAAUCAAAAUGGGUCAUCCUAAUCCUUCUUUAGAUGUUUCUGCUGAUGAAAAGUAUGUAUGGACUUACAUUUCUCCGGAGUUUCCAAUGGCUCAGGAAAACCAGUUACAGAAGUUCAAGCUUCCAGAACCAGUGCUUUGUAUUGGUGGUAUCUUGCAGAUUGAGCUUUUGGGAAGGAUUCAGAGACAAGAAAUGGACAACUUAUUCUACAUUUGUGUCUCUCAUGUUAAAGUUGUGGGCCGCCCAUUGUCACCUGCAUUUACUGUUGAAAUUCGCGAACCAUCUUCUGGGGCAUUUGUGCUCAAGUGUGAUCAGCUUGCUAAGUGUCCCGCUCAACCAGCUUUUUCUAUUGAGUCUCGUGCAAUAUCCCCUGACGACUAUAUUCAGAGGCGACUUAGAGAUGUUCGACAGAUUGUGACAAUGUUGCGGGAAAAUGUAGUAGAGGUUGUCGAAGAAGAUGAUUGGGAUGAGGAUGAUGAAGUUGAAGACUUUGAAGAAGCAUAUGCCCUUUGAUCUUUUGUUAUGCCUACUAAGUGCUUUUGUAAUUCCCUCCCAAAACAAUAAAGAAAAGGAGAACAUGGUGAUGGUAUCUCUCCAGAACAAUCUGUCUAAUUAUCAAUGGGGGUCAAAAACGUAUUUUGCAUUUCGCAGAUGGAGACCAAAAUUACUUGGGACUUUCUCAGUUAGGUAAAAAUGAAUUUAAAGAAAACGUCCAAAUUAGCUGUGACCCAUACUAUAACACAAUGCACUGAUUAUAUAAUAUAUCCAUAUUUCUUUCAUAAGCUUAAUGCCCGUUUGGUGUCAAGGAGGAUACGGAUAUUUUUAACUCCAAAAUUGCUGUUUUAGCUUUUA